This 515-nucleotide ribosomal RNA is filed under the name uncultured bacterium. RNAcentral's name for it is "partial 16S ribosomal RNA". It matches the Rfam family "Bacterial small subunit ribosomal RNA", at positions 28 to 523 of the family's 1533-position model. The record is from RNAcentral.
GACGAACGCUGGCGGCGUACCUAAUACAUGCAAGUCGAGCGGACUUUCAAGAAGCUUGCUUUUUGAAAGUUAGCGGCGGACGGGUGAGUAACACGUGGGCAACCUGCCUGUAAGACGGGGAUAACUCCGGGAAACCGGGGCUAAUACCGGAUAAUAUCUUUCUUCGCAUGAAGGAAGGUUGAAAGGCGGCGCAAGCUGCCGCUUGCAGAUGGGCCCGCGGCGAAUUAGCUAGUUGGUGAGGUAACGGCUCACCAAGGGGACGAUGCGUAGCCGACCUGAGAGGGUGAUCGGCCACACUGGGACUGAGACACGGCCCAGACUCCUACAGGAGGCAGCAGUAGGGAAUCUUCCGCAAUGGACGAAAGUCUGACGGAGCAACGCCGCGUGAGCGAAGAAGGUCUUCGGAUCGUAAAGCUCUGUUGUCAGGGAAGAACAAGUACCGUUCGAAUAGGACGGUACCUUGACGGUACCUGACCAGAAAGCCACGGCUAACUACGUGCCAGCAGCAGCCGCCG